This is a non-coding RNA of Hymenopellis radicata, 82 nucleotides long. The record is from the annotation of a GenBank genome assembly. Lineage: Eukaryota; Fungi; Basidiomycota; Agaricomycetes; Agaricales; Physalacriaceae.
GGGCACAUGGUGUAGUUGGUUUAUCACGCCCGCUUAGCAUGCUUCUUGCGGGAGGUGUUGGGUUCAAUUCCCAAUGUGUCCA